AAACUGAUGAUUAAAACAGUGAGUAAUCACCAUUUACCCUGAGUAAUUAGAGAUAAUGAAACACCUCUAAAAUCAGGUUAUGGAGAAAGGAGCUGUUGGAUCGGUUUAAAAGGUGGCCUUCCAUAAACUGUUAAAGGAUUUCCAAACGUUGAGAAACAGGCUGUGUGCAGAACUGUGUGUGUGCCAGAGAGAGAUACCUCUUGGGCUGUUAAAAGUGUGCGGGAACAGUGUGACCUAAACAA
Molecule: long non-coding RNA, 242 nt
Filed under: Piliocolobus tephrosceles (Ugandan red Colobus)
Lineage: Eukaryota; Metazoa; Chordata; Mammalia; Primates; Cercopithecidae
Description: lncRNA (ENSPTEG00000038635.1)
Source: RNAcentral